Molecule: ribosomal RNA, 509 nt
Filed under: uncultured bacterium
Lineage: Bacteria
Description: bacterial SSU rRNA
Rfam family: Bacterial small subunit ribosomal RNA
Source: RNAcentral
CUGGCUCAGGAUGAACGCUAGCUACAGGCUUAACACAUGCAAGUCGAGGGGCAGCAUGAAGUCAGCUGCUGAUUUGAUGGCGACCGGCGCACGGGUGAGUAACGCGUAUCCAACCUUCCCUAUAGUAGAGAAUAGCCCGGCGAAAGUCGGAUUAAUGCUCUAUGUUCUUCAUAGAUGACAUCUGAAAUGAAGCAAAGGUUCACCGCUAUAGGAUGGGGAUGCGUCUGAUUAGGUUGUAGGCGGGGUAACGGCCCACCUAGCCGACGAUCAGUAGGGGUUCUGAGAGGAAGGUCCCCCACAUUGGUACUGAGACACGGACCAAACUCCUACGGGAGGCAGCAGUGAGGAAUAUUGGUCAAUGGGCGAGAGCCUGAACCAGCCAAGUAAGCGUGCAGGAAGACUGCCCUAUGGGUUGUAAACUGCUUCUAUAGGGGAAUAAAGUGAGGAACGUGUUCCUUUUUGUAUGUACCCUAUGAAUAAGGACCGGCUAAUUCCGUGCCAGCCGCGGC